Molecule: long non-coding RNA, 800 nt
Organism: Oxyura jamaicensis (ruddy duck)
Lineage: Eukaryota; Metazoa; Chordata; Aves; Anseriformes; Anatidae
Exons: 3
Source: RefSeq, a predicted model, not a curated record
UUCAGUGUUUAAGCAUACUCAAUAUUAUACAUUUUGUUCAGAUCAAUAUUAUUGUUUAGAAAUUUAAAUAUUUUUUCAUGGAAGAGGAAAUAAUUUUCAACUUAAUUCUUACUGAUUGCUGUGUUGCAUGGAUUUAGCUAAAUCAUACAGAAUGCCCAUCUCUAAAAAUGCCCAUUUGUAAGAUACAAAACAGGAUAAUUAGGUAUUUUCAACUGAAGCCAGUUGAUCAAAUCUUGACUCUGGUGAAGGUGAUGAUGCUUUGAUGGUGUUGGGAUUUUAGCCCAUCUCUAAAUAAAAUGUUCUCCUACUCUUUUUAAACCAUUAAGAUGUCUUUAUAUGCCUAUAUAAUUAUGCUGAGAAGUUAGGUUCUUUCUGUUUCUCCCAGAUGUUGUGUGUUUGUUCAGUGCAAUGGGGAAAAUAAGCUUGAGAGCAUCUUGUCCUUGAGCAGCAAGGUGACAACGGCACUCUGAGCUGCAAGAAGACACUUGGUGCAGCAACUCGCUGGAGAAGCUGUGUCUUUCCAGCUUUUGUUCAUGUGGAAGCUGAAAUCACAGUCUCCGGCAGAGAUACCUAGGUAUGAAAAUUCACGUGUAAAGAUGAAGAAGGCUGGGAGCAUCGUGGCUACCGACCCAGUCUACAGCUGUACUAACCCUAUCACUGGGUUAAGCCAAUUGAAGCCAAUGGUUUUGCACCAAGGGAUGCAAUGACUCAGUUUCUCCAUCCAACCUCAUGGUCCAUCGUCUUUCUCUAGCCUUUUAGUGCCUUCCAGUUAGUCUAUCCUAAUGUUCAAAUAAAAAGAA